This 497-nucleotide ribosomal RNA is filed under the name uncultured bacterium. Its description in RNAcentral is "partial 16S ribosomal RNA". It matches the Rfam family "Bacterial small subunit ribosomal RNA", at positions 28 to 507 of the family's 1533-position model. The record is from RNAcentral.
GAUGAACGCUGGCGGCGUGCCUAAUACAUGCAAGUCGAGCGAACAGACGAGGAGCUUGCUCCUCUGACGUUAGCGGCGGACGGGUGAGUAACACGUGGAUAACCUACCUAUAAGACUGGGAUAACUUCGGGAAACCGGAGCUAAUACCGGAUAAUAUAUUGAACCGCAUGGUUCAAUAGUGAAAGACGGUUUUGCUGUCACUUAUAGAUGGAUCCGCGCCGCAUUAGCUAGUUGGUAAGGUAACGGCUUACCAAGGCAACGAUGCGUAGCCGACCUGAGAGGGUGAUCGGCCACACUGGAACUGAGACACGGUCCAGACUCCUACGGGAGGCAGCAGUAGGGAAUCUUCCGCAAUGGGCGAAAGCUUGACAGAGCAACGCCGCGUGAGUGAUGAAGGUCUUCGGAUCGUAAAACUCUGUUAUUAGGGAAGAACGAAUGUGUAAGUAACUAUGCACGUCUUGACGGUACCUAAUCAGAAAGCCACGGCUAACUACGUG